ACUCAGUUGACAACUUUAAGUGAAGAUGCACUGAAAAAUUGAGCGUACAUUGUGUGUGAUCGUACAAGAACUGCUGGAAUUUGCAAACUUUUAAACUUUCAUUUUGACAAUUAUCUAUAUCAUAAACUAUCUACAGUAACUUAUCACAUUGACAUGCUUUUUUGGUUAGGAUACACAUGAUGUAGCAACUAUAUCAUGUCAUGUAGGGGGAA
Molecule: long non-coding RNA, 212 nt
Filed under: Mytilus galloprovincialis (Mediterranean mussel)
Lineage: Eukaryota; Metazoa; Mollusca; Bivalvia; Mytilida; Mytilidae
Source: RNAcentral